GGGCGCGUAGCUCAGGGGGAGAGCGCUACAUUGACACUGUAGAGGUCAUAGGUUCGAAACCUAUCGUGCCCACCA
This 75-nucleotide transfer RNA is filed under the name Vulcanimicrobiaceae bacterium. RNAcentral describes it as "tRNA-Val". It matches the Rfam family "tRNA". Rfam says of the family: Transfer RNA (tRNA) molecules are approximately 80 nucleotides in length. Their secondary structure includes four short double-helical elements and three loops (D, anti-codon, and T loops). Lineage: Bacteria; Bacillati; Vulcanimicrobiota; Vulcanimicrobiia; Vulcanimicrobiales; Vulcanimicrobiaceae. RNAcentral also lists the same sequence under 2 other names. The record is from RNAcentral.